Molecule: ribosomal RNA, 450 nt
Filed under: uncultured bacterium
Lineage: Bacteria
Description: partial 16S ribosomal RNA
Rfam family: Bacterial small subunit ribosomal RNA
Source: RNAcentral
GUCGAGAAUAAUUCACAAUGGGGGAAACCCUGAUGGUGCAACGCCGCGUGGAGGAUGAAGGUCUUCGGAUUGUAAACUCCUGUCAUCUGGGAGUAAGACCUGACGGUGAAUAGCCGGCAGGGUUGAUAGUACCAGAAGAGGAAGGGACGGCUAACUUCGUGCCAGCAGCCGCGGUAAUACGAAGGUCCCAAGCGUUGUUCGGAAUCACUGGGCGUAAAGGGAGCGUAGGCGGCGUGGUAAGUCAGAUGUGAAAUCCCGGGGCUCAACCCCGGAACUGCAUCCGAUACUGCCAUGCUUGAGGGGUGGAGAGGUAGCUGGAAUUCUCGGUGUAGCAGUGAAAUGCGUGGAUAUCGAGAGGAACACUCGUGGCGAAGGCGAGCUACUGGACAACAUCUGACGCUGAGGCUCGAAGGCCAGGGGAGCAAAAGGGAUUAGAAACCCGGGUAGUCC